Molecule: ribosomal RNA, 433 nt
Filed under: uncultured bacterium
Lineage: Bacteria
Description: partial 16S ribosomal RNA
Rfam family: Bacterial small subunit ribosomal RNA
Source: RNAcentral
AACGAACGCUGGCGGCAGGCUUAACACAUGCAAGUCGAACGCACCUUUCGGGGUGAGUGGCAGACGGGUGAGUAACGCGUGGGAAUCUACCCUUCUCUACGGGAUAGCUCCGGGAAACUGGAAUUAAUACCGUAUACGUCCUGAGGGAGAAAGAUUUAUCGGGGAAGGAUGAGCCCGCGUUGGAUUAGCUAGUUGGUGGGGUAAAGGCCUACCAAGGCGACGAUCCAUAGCUGGUCUAAGAGGAUGAUCAGCCACAUUGGGACUGAGACACGGCCCAAACUCCUACGGGAGGGAGCAGUGGGGAAUAUUGGACAAUGGGCGCAAGGCUGAUCCAGCCAUGCCGCGUGAGUGAUGAAGGCCCUAGGGUUGUAAAGCUCUUUCAGUGGGGACGAUAAUGACGGUACCCACAGAAGAAGCCCCGGCUAACUUCGUG